CGCCCCCAGGCUGAGAUGCCCCAGUGAUCCCACCCUGGCCUUUCCACUUGGUUUCCGGCGCCCUGCGGGACGGCAUGUCAUGCAUUCAUUGACUGAGUGCUUGCUGUGUGCCAGCCACUGUUCUAGGGACUACGAUCCAACCUAUCAGCCAGGCGGGUCAGCGCUUCUGUUUGGACCCUGAAUUCCUCCACAUUCCCCCAUGCUCACCCCCCACCAUGAUCCCAGCUCAAGACACCAUCUGGAUUUCCUUACAGCAGCUGCCCCCCAGGCCUCCAGUUGUCUGCCAUCAGCCUCUGGUCUGUUUCUCCCACAGCUGCCAAAGAGUCAGGUCAUGUCUCUCCUUUUCCUAGAGAACCCUUUGCGGCUCCCAGCUCACUCAGAGCAAAAGUCCAAGUCUUCCUGCACCCCCGCAAGGCCCUGCACCCUCUUCCUGUCCCCUCCCUGCCCUCCUCUCCCACUCACCCCUCACUCACUGUGUUCGAGGCACACUGGCCUCCUUGUUGCUCCUCAAACACACCAGGCACAGUCCUGCCUCAGGGCCUUUGUACUUGCCCUUUCCUCGGUCUGGAACAUUCUUCCCAGAAUUUUAACAUGGCCUCCUCUCUCUCCUUACUCAGGCCUUAGCUCAGAUGUCCCCUCCUCAGAAGCCCUCCCUGACCACCCCCAUUUAGCGUUGCUCCUCCUGGGCACUCUCUAUCACAGUCCCGCUUUGUCAUUUUAGUAUUUGUCUCUCUCUGGAAUUGCCUCGUUUGUUUGCCGGUGUUUAUUAUCUGAAUUCCUCCACCAAAAUAUCCGCUCGCAGAGGCUGAGCCUGGGUUUUGUUCAGUGCACGCCCCUCAACACUCACAUGCCCCAGCUCUGUCGUACCCUCCCAAGUGUUGCCCCGCUCACACAGGUGAGCUCCUAUGCGUGUACUGUGGCCACAUCCCUGGCUCCCCUUGUCUUCUCUCGCGGGGUUCAGCCGCUUGCAGCCUCUCAGAUGAGGACACACAGGCCUCUCACACGCACUUGCCAGUACUCAGAACACGUCUCCCACGUCCACACGUCACCCCUGUCUGCCCCAAGUUCCACUGUGUCCAAGCCCACAUGUCCGGGUGGCCACACGCACGGGCAGGUGCCUCGAGGUCUUCAAGGUCACACACAUCACCUUGUUCACACAUUCAGCAGACGCUCCUUUCGUGCCUAUUGUGUGCCAAGAGCCGGUCCAGGCAGCGGACCCGCCCAGGACCAACACAGACAAAAUCCCUGCCCCCAGGCAGCUGACGUCCUGGAUGGGAAGACAGAUGGUGGGUAGGUCAGAGGGUGGUAAGUUCUUAGGAGAACACUUAAGUGGGGAUGCGGGUGGGGGUUCUGGGAUGAGAGGCCUUUUUUUUUUUUUUUUUAAGAUUUUUUUAAUUUUGAGACCGCAGGCACGCGAGCAGGGGAGGUGCAGAGAGAGAGAGACAGAGGGAGAGACAGGAUCCCAAGCUGGCCCUGUGCUGUCAGUGCACAGCCCGAUGAGGGGCUUGAUCCCAUGAACUGUGAGAUGGUGACCUGAGCUGAAAUCAAGGCGAGGAUGUUCAACUGACUGAGCCACCCAGGUGCCCAGAGGGGCGGUUUGAAACAGAGGAGUCAGAACUUACUAAGAAGAGGGCACUGGAGCCAAGACCUGAAGGAAGAGACAAAGGUAAGAGCAUUCCAGGCACAGGGAGAAGCAAGCCCUGAGCUAGAGCCUUUGAGGUGCCCAAGGAAUAGCAGAGAGGCCCGUAAGACCGGAACAGAGCGAGCAGGGGGGAGAGCAGGAGGAAUGAGAACAGGGAGGGGACGGGGCCAAGCGUGCAGGGUCUCAUGGGCCCCAGAAGGACUUGGGCUUUCACUCUGACUGAGGUGCGAGCUCCAGAAGGUUCUGAGCUGGAGAAAGGCAUAUUUGCUAUCAUAUAUGCACACCAAACCGGAGCUCUCCUUGCCCCCUCCUCGACGACACCAGGCCCCCCACGACAGGGAUGGACCACACCCCUUGGAGCCAGACUACAUGUGUAACAUCCACCACCUUUCCAGGAGCUCAACCUGGGGACCAAGACCCUGAGUCCAGCAAGGCUUGCAGCAGACACGAAGUCCCAGGAGGAGCUGAGGGUCCAGGAGGAGCCUCUGAGUGAGGAAGGGG
Neofelis nebulosa (Clouded leopard) is the source of this 2143-nucleotide long non-coding RNA. RefSeq lists it as uncharacterized. The record is from RefSeq and is a predicted model, not a curated record. The transcript has 3 exons. Lineage: Eukaryota; Metazoa; Chordata; Mammalia; Carnivora; Felidae.